Long non-coding RNA from Perca fluviatilis (European perch), 1132 nucleotides. RefSeq lists it as uncharacterized. The record is from RefSeq and is a predicted model, not a curated record. NCBI's taxonomy places the organism in Eukaryota, Metazoa, Chordata, Actinopteri, Perciformes, Percidae. The transcript is spliced from 2 exons.
AGUGGAUAGUGCCCCGGAUGAUGAUUGCCUAAGGAGGGAGACUGCUGUGUGGCAUUCAGUCCAGCCUCUGACUGACCUCAUAACGUCCUCCAUUCGUCUUUAUGAAGAGGAUUGAUAAUCCAUAAAUUAAUCUGCUCAAAUUGCUACAUGUUCAGAGGUCGCAGAGUCGUCUUCCGGUCAGUCUGAAGUCGGGGGUCUGGAGAGUCAGUGCCACAUGAGGGUCAUCAUCAGAUACCUCUCAUUCAUCAUCAUCAUCGGUCUGGUGUGUGACCAAUGGGUGCUUUUCUUCCAGAGGAGAUUAUCCGUUUACUGUACGUGGUUUAAGGGGAAAGUCGUACUUAUCCUCCAUAGACCAGAGCUGGAAAUGAGAGGCUGUCCAUCCUGCGCUUCCAUAAGAACUAACAAACAUGGAACUGUCACUUCUAAAUCUGCUGAAAGGAUUACAGGAACUGAUGAGAAGAAAUGUUUUCAGGAUAUCAUUUUUUGACUGACUAGACAAUAUUGUCUGCAAGGACACAUGUUUACUGCAGAAUCCUCAGACAUCUGUUGUGAAGAACUUUCUUAUUAAAGCUCUGCAGAACAAAGACACUUUUCUUUGCAAGAAAUUGGUGACAUUUUAAGUAAAUGGGUCCAGACUAUAAACAGCCACAUUCAACAUGUUUCAUCCCACAACACUGAUUAGUAGAACACUUGGCGUGUGUUGUGCUGAACUUCAAUCAGUCUAACUUUGACACAUUUCAUUUGACCCCCUUUUGGUCCCCUAAUCAUUUUCCUACAGUCCACAAUAACACCUGAUUGAAGUUGUUUUUCACUCUCAGCAGGUCACACGUUUAGUACACAGACGUCUCAUCACACAGUAGGAGUUUACCUGCAUGCGAAGCAGCUCAGUGCUGUUGAGUUCCUGUGGUUGAUUCGACAGCUUGGUGGUUGACGCUCUCUCCCUCUCUUUGUCUCUGCACCUCCUGUUAACGGUGUAUCCUGUCAUGCAGCUGUAAACUCGGUUUUCCAUGUUGAAGUACAAACCCAGCCAUGUUUUCAUUUGUAAAGAUUGCAUUGAAGUCGACCUCUACACAACCAAUGUUGGAGUAAAGAUCGUAUUUUGUUACUGACAAUAAACACUUUCUAAUCAGUA